AGUCGAGGGGCAGCAUGGUCUUAGCUUGCUAAGGCUGAUGGCGACCGGCGCACGGGUGAGUAACACGUAUCCAACCUGCCGUCUACUCUUGGCCAGCCUUCUGAAAGGAAGAUUAAUCCAGGAUGGGAUCAUGAGUUCACAUGUCCGCAUGAUUAAAGGUAUUUUCCGGUAGACGAUGGGGAUGCGUUCCAUUAGAUAGUAGGCGGGGUAACGGCCCACCUAGUCAACGAUGGAUAGGGGUUCUGAGAGGAAGGUCCCCCACAUUGGAACUGAGACACGGUCCAAACUCCUACGGGAGGCAGCAGUGAGGAAUAUUGGUCAAUGGGCGAUGGCCUGAACCAGCCAAGUAGCGUGAAGGAUGACUGCCCUAUGGGUUGUAAACUUCUUUUAUAAAGGAAUAAAGUCGGGUAUGCAUACCCGUUUGCAUGUACUUUAUGAAUAAGGAUCGGCUAACUCCGUGCCAGCAGCCGCGGUAAUACGGAGGAUCCGAGCGUUAUCCGGAUUUAUUGGGUUUAAAGGGAGCGUAGAUGGAUGUUUAAGUCAGUUGUGAAAGUUUGCGGCUCAACCGUAAAAUUGCAGUUGAUACUGGAUGUCUUGAGUGCAGUUGAGGCAGGCGGAAUUCGUGGUGUAGCGGUGAAAUGCUUAGAUAUCACGAAGAACUCCGAUUGCGAAGGCAGCCUGCUAAGCUGCAACUGACAUUGAGGCUCGAAAGUGUGGGUAUCAAACAGGAUUAGAUACCCUGGUAGUCCA
This 750-nucleotide ribosomal RNA is filed under the name uncultured bacterium. RNAcentral describes it as "bacterial SSU rRNA". It matches the Rfam family "Bacterial small subunit ribosomal RNA", at positions 60 to 797 of the family's 1533-position model. The record is from RNAcentral.